Molecule: ribosomal RNA, 343 nt
Filed under: Heterotermes cardini
Lineage: Eukaryota; Metazoa; Arthropoda; Insecta; Blattodea; Rhinotermitidae
Description: partial 16S ribosomal RNA
Source: RNAcentral
UGAAGGGCCGCGGUAUUUUGACCGUGCAAAGGUAGCAUAAUCAUUAGUUCUUUAAUUGUGAUCUGGAAUGAAUGGCUUGACGAGACACGAGCUGUCUUAAGUUGUGAAUGUUUUAUUGAAUUUGGUUUUUGAGUUAAAAUUCUUAGAUGUUUUUAUGGGACGAGAAGACCCUAUAGAGUUUAACAUUUGGUCUAUUUUCCUUAUUGUUUGUUUUGUUUAAUUGAGUGGGCUUAUAUGUUUUGUUGGGGCGAUGAGAGGGAUAUAGUUUAACCCCUCUUUAUUUUGGUUAUAUUAAUUUAUAGUUGCUUGAUCCAUUGAUUUUGAUUAUAAAAUUAAAUUACCU